GCGCAUCUACUACUCCGCAGGUAGCGUGCUUGGGCGAGAGUAGUACUAGGAUGGGUGACCUCCUGGGAAGUCCUCGUGUUGCAUUCCC
This 88-nucleotide ribosomal RNA is filed under the name Phaseolus vulgaris (common bean). The record is from RNAcentral. Lineage: Eukaryota; Viridiplantae; Streptophyta; Magnoliopsida; Fabales; Fabaceae.